CACGUAGUUAGCCGUGGCUUUCUGAUUAGGUACCGUCAAGACGUGCAUAGUUACUUACACAUUUGUUCUUCCCUAAUAACAGAGUUUUACGAUCCGAAGACCUUCAUCACCCACGCGGCGUUGCUCCGUCAGGCUUUCGCCCAUUGCGGAAGAUUCCCUACUGCUGCCUCCCGUAGGAGUCUGGACCGUGUCUCAGUUCCAGUGUGGCCGAUCACCCUCUCAGGUCGGCUACGCAUCGUCGCCUUGGUAAGCCGUUACCUUACCAACUAGCUAAUGCGGCGCGGAUCCAUCUAUAAGUGACAGCAAAACCGUCUUUCACUAUUGAACCAUGCGGUUCAAUAUAUUAUCCGUAUUAGCUCGGUUUCCCGAAGUUAUCCCAGUCUUAUAGGUAGGUUAUCCACGUGUUACUCUACCCGUCCGCCGCUAACGUCAGAGGAGCAAGCUCCUCGUCUGUUCGCUCGACUUGCAUGUAUUAGGCUAGCCGCCAGCGUUCAUCCUGACGCC
This 504-nucleotide ribosomal RNA is filed under the name uncultured Staphylococcus sp. Its description in RNAcentral is "partial 16S ribosomal RNA". The record is from RNAcentral. Lineage: Bacteria; Bacillati; Bacillota; Bacilli; Caryophanales; Staphylococcaceae.